RNAcentral lists this long non-coding RNA (765 nucleotides) under Heterocephalus glaber (naked mole-rat). RNAcentral's name for it is "lncRNA (ENSHGLG00000037332.1)". Lineage: Eukaryota; Metazoa; Chordata; Mammalia; Rodentia; Bathyergidae. The record is from RNAcentral.
CAGGGGUUAUACUGUUUUGAGUAAGUUUCCUAAAAUGAUUCCGCAAACUGAUCCCAGGUUCUGAAUUUCCUGGUGUCAAGGGUCUCUGGAAUGUGUUACUGCAUUGAAAGAGCCCCAUCUCUAGAGCACCCUUGCAUGGAGUGGUUUAUCAUUCUACCCUGUGGUGACCCACACAGCUACCUGUGGUUCCUGAGCUCAGAGGUGGCAGUGGGGUCCCAUGCUGCGCUGGGGUUCUGCCCGAGGGCCUGUGUCUGUUCCCUUGAAAUCGGGUUCAGAAGCCACACAGCUGGGUUUCCAGGAGUGCCUGAGUGUCUAUCUCUUCCUCUUCCUCUGCUUUUCUUUUUGCCCUGUGAAUCAGUGGGAAAUCCCCCUAGAAUCUCCAGACCAGUGGCCCUGUGUCUGAGCUGUAGAUGCGGGUCAGAGAUAAUGGUAGGUUCAGUGCAGGGCCUGGCAAUUCCCGGGCCAGAGGGUUUCCUAAACAUCACUCCAGGCCUUAAGAUCCUUAAUUAAGCCACCAGAGGCCCAGAAGACAUGGCAGUUUUCCCUGAGCUCUCUACACUGAAGCUGUAACUACACUUCUGCUUCUGCCUGGGGACGCAUUCCUUUGCUAGUCCUGAAGGCAGUGUUGUGGGCAGCCUGCAACUGGGGAUACACCGGAGCUUACAUUCUGUUGGAGCAAGACAGGUAACAAGAUCUUGCCAUGUAGGUUAGGCUGACCUUGAACUCACAGUCCUUCUGCAUCAACAUCCGCCUGUAGAGUGCUGG